This is a long non-coding RNA of Triticum dicoccoides, 1122 nucleotides long. RefSeq lists it as uncharacterized. NCBI's taxonomy places the organism in Eukaryota, Viridiplantae, Streptophyta, Magnoliopsida, Poales, Poaceae. The record is from RefSeq and is a predicted model, not a curated record. The transcript has 4 exons.
UUUUCAGAUGUAUGCCAUGUAUGUGUAGCCAUGGUUCUGAAACACCCCCAUUCCUUCUCUUCCUAUCAAUUUUCAUUGAUUCAGUUAUUUGACUAAAUGAUAAUAUAUGCCCCAGGGUUAAUUAGUACCUAAAAUGCUACCUUUGGUUUGUGAAAAAGAUCUAGAGUGGCUUCUGCAGCUCCUGUUAUGUUUCAUUGAUUCAGUCAUGUAGUAGGAUAGUUCCACUGGAUUUUACUAAAUGGUUUUGUAGCUUUACUUAGUGAAAAUGCCUCAAUUGGUUUCCGCAACAUUGCUUGUCUGUUGGCAGCUGGAGCAUACUUGGUACAUGAGCCUUGCUGUGAGUGGUGGUGCAACGGUGACCUUGACGAGCAGGGCAAUGGCCAGACACGAGUAAGACACCAAAGAUGACUGGAAGCACUCAAAAAGUUUACCACGCUGGAGCUAUGUCAGGUUGUACGAGGGCAGUUAAUGAAUAUACUUGCGACCCUUUUACUCUCAGACUCUCCUCCUUUUCUCGCUGCUGAACCCCUGCCAUCAUCAUGUCCAGACUGGCUGUCUCCAUGGUUGUGGCGCCAAGGUCACCGCAUCUUACAUCCUGAUGCAUUUUCAGGAAGACAUUAUUUGAUGUUAGAUGGCCAUUAUGUUCGCUUCAUAUGGACAGAGGACUAAUGGUACUCUUCCAUGAAGAGAAGCAAGUGGAUCAGUAUGUAGUAGCAGGUAUCAAUGUUUUCUCAUACUGAUGAUUCUGAAGUAAUUAGAUUGAGAAAAUUGCUUUAUUCCCCAAUUUCUCUCUGAAACCUUUGCCUUGUCCAUAGUCAUACCUAAAUGAGUUACUUUAUUUCCUAUAGCUCUAUUACUUUUUUCCCUAGAACCUGUCUCUUUAGUCUCCUUUACAAUACCAUGAUCAGGAGGCAAGAAAUAUGUGUGAAUGGAAUAAGAACUGUAUAUAGUUAUUGAUAAGCAUCUUCCAGUAUCUAACAUAUAAAGCCUCCUAGAGCACCCGCCAUUCAGGAGGCCUUCCCGUGCGCAUCAUUCCUGUCCGUUCGAUCUCCUUUGACUUUGGCUCCUGGUCGUUCGAUCAUUUGACUGGUGGUAAUUUUUGGUCACUGUGUAAUUAAUUUC